UUUCUGUGCAGCAAAUGCAAGCCAUGAUUUGAUCUCUUUAUCCAACUUAGGCUCAUUUGAUAGGUCAACUGCAGUGUGUAGAAGAGAACAGGAAGUAGAGACCACAACAUUGUCUUUGCCCACAAUGGCCUCAAGAGUACAGAGUGUAUCAAGGGAAGCAGCAAGAUCAUUAGCCCAGAUGUUCCUUCCAUCAACUACUCCAGCAAAUAGGAAUUUGCCCGAAGGGAAUCCACCCUUAAUCAGAUCAAGGGUUUUAGUCCCACGAAUUAGGUCAAAUCCAAAUCCACUAACACCCU
Molecule: unclassified non-coding RNA, 296 nt
Filed under: Hevea brasiliensis (rubber tree)
Lineage: Eukaryota; Viridiplantae; Streptophyta; Magnoliopsida; Malpighiales; Euphorbiaceae
Source: RNAcentral